Molecule: ribosomal RNA, 919 nt
Filed under: uncultured bacterium
Lineage: Bacteria
Description: bacterial SSU rRNA
Rfam family: Bacterial small subunit ribosomal RNA
Source: RNAcentral
ACAUAAAGGAAGUUUUGAUUCCCUGCUCCAGGAUGAACGCUGGCGGCGUGCCUAAACACAUGCAAGUCGAGCGGAUCUCUUCGGAGAGAGCGGCGGACGGGUGAGUAACGCGUGGGAAACCUGACCUGUACACACGGAUAACAUACCGAAAGGUAUACUAAUACGGGAUAACAUAUGAAAGUCGCAUGGCUUUUGUAUCAAAGCUCCGGCGGUACAGGAUGGACCCGCGUCUGAUUAGCCCCCUUGGUAAGGUAAUGGCUUACCAAGGCAACGAUCAGUAGCCGACCUGAGAGGGUGAUCGGCCACACUGGAACUGAGACACGGUCCAGACUCCUACGGGAGGCAGCAGUGGGGAAUAUUGCACAAUGGGCGAAAGCCUGAUGCAGCAACGCCGCGUGAGCGAUGAAGGCCUUCGGGUCGUAAAGCUCUGUCCUCAAGGAAGAUAAUGACGGUACUUGAGGAGGAAGCCCCGGCUAACUACGUGCCAGCAGCCGCGGUAAUACGUAGGGGGCUAGCGUUAUCCGGAAUUACUGGGCGUAAAGGGUGCGUAGGUGGUUUUUUAAGUCAGAAGUGAAAGGCUACGGCUCAACCGUAGUAAGCUUUUGAAACUAGAGAACUUGAGUGCAGGAGAGGAGAGUAGAAUUCCUAGUGUAGCGGUGAAAUGCGUAGAUAUUAGGAGGAAUACCAGUAGCGAAGGCGGCUCUCUGGACUGUAACUGACACUGAGGCACGAAAGCGUGGGGAGCAAACAGGAUUAAAUACCCUGGUAGUCCACGCCGUAAACGAUGAGUACUAGGUGUCGGGGGUUACCCCCCUCGGUGCCGCAGCUAACGCAUUAAGUACUCCGCCUGGGAAGUACGCUCGCAAGAGUGAAACUCAAAGGAUUUGACGGCGACCCGCACAAGUUUGCGGAUCAUGCU